Molecule: ribosomal RNA, 134 nt
Filed under: uncultured eukaryote
Lineage: Eukaryota
Description: partial small subunit ribosomal RNA
Rfam family: Eukaryotic small subunit ribosomal RNA
Source: RNAcentral
CCCUGCCAUUUGUACACACCGCCCGUCGCUACUACCGAUUGAAUGAUUUAGUGAGUUUCAGGGAUUGAUGGGUUUUGGUGGUUUCCUCCAUUGCUCAUUCGAGAACUGACACAAACUUGACCAUUUAGAGGAAG